CAGACUCCUCCAGCGGAUGAUCCUCCACAAUGCCAUCCGAAGUCCACUGCCGGUCGAUCCUCUGUCGGAUUCCUCAUGAAAUCAGACUUCUCCAACAGAAAGUCCCUGUCCGAGCUUCUACAGCAGAUGACUCCCACCUGCAGCAUCAGCGCUCUAGGCAUCCGACAACAGUGGACUCAUCAGCAACCUCGAAAACAUCCGAGUCUCUCUUAGAUUGCAGAGACAGAGAGCCAUUCCGCUCCUUCAGACGUCCCACNNN
RNAcentral lists this long non-coding RNA (259 nucleotides) under Elaeis guineensis (African oil palm). Its description in RNAcentral is "long non-coding RNA (EGUI_LNC028169)". The record is from RNAcentral. Lineage: Eukaryota; Viridiplantae; Streptophyta; Magnoliopsida; Arecales; Arecaceae.